AUGAGCCUGUGCAUCCUUACUGCAGAGGACUUGUUUUCAGGCACCAAAUUCCCUUUUGCCAUCGAGAAUGGAGGUUUGAAGAGCAGCACCCAAGGGAUGGUUUGCUUCUUUGCCUAUCUAUGCAUUACAAUCAAAGAAUCCCAAAUAUGAGGUAUCAACAGCAGCCCUAUGGGCCUUGGGGAAAGGGUGCAACCUCAUCUUGUUUGGAUGCUAUUUCCCGCUGGCAGCUCCCACUGUGACGCCCAGAGUGACUCCUAGAGCCUGGAGCCAGCAGGAAUUGCCCUGAGAAAGGGAGCAGAUCGAUGUUGCAGCUCUUACCAAUGCCAGGCCAGUGAAAAACAGAGUCGAGGCACUGUAGGGUAUCACUACACAUGGACAGCACAUAGCAGAGAGGCAUUUAACCCCAUGCAUACUAAAAUACAUGAUUUAAUAAAAGAAAAAGUACAGGUGUGAAUCCCCA
This 460-nucleotide long non-coding RNA is filed under the name Parus major (Great Tit). RNAcentral's name for it is "lncRNA (ENSPMJG00000006979.1)". Lineage: Eukaryota; Metazoa; Chordata; Aves; Passeriformes; Paridae. The record is from RNAcentral.